RNAcentral lists this ribosomal RNA (1470 nucleotides) under metagenome. Its description in RNAcentral is "bacterial SSU rRNA". It matches the Rfam family "Bacterial small subunit ribosomal RNA". The record is from RNAcentral.
AGAGUUUGAUCCUGGCUCAGGACGAACGCUGGCGGCACGCUUAACACAUGCAGGUCGAACGAGAGAAGAGGAGCUUGCUUUUCUGAUCUAGUGGCGGACGGGUGAGUAACACGUGAGCAAUCUGCCUUUCAGAGGGGGAUACCGAUUGGAAACGAUCGUUAAUACCGCAUAACAUAAUUGAAUCGCAUGAUUUGAUUAUCAAGGAUUUAUCGCUGAAAGAUGAGCUCGCGUCUGAUUAGCUAGUUGGUAAGGUAACGGCUUACCAAGGCGACGAUCAGUAGCCGGACUGAGAGGUUGAUCGGCCACAUUGGGACUGAGACACGGCCCAGACUCCUACGGGAGGCAGCAGUGGGGAAUAUUGCACAAUGGAGGAAACUCUGAUGCAGCGAUGCCGCGUGAGGGAAGAAGGUUUUAGGAUUGUAAACCUCUGUCUUCAGGGACGAAAAAAGACGGUACCUGAGGAGGAAGCUCCGGCUAACUACGUGCCAGCAGCCGCGGUAAUACGUAGGGAGCGAGCGUUGUCCGGAAUUACUGGGUGUAAAGGGAGCGUAGGCGGGAUCGCAAGUCAGAUGUGAAAACUAUGGGCUUAACCCAUAAACUGCAUUUGAAACUGUGGUUCUUGAGUGAAGUAGAGGUAAGCGGAAUUCCUAGUGUAGCGGUGAAAUGCGUAGAUAUUAGGAGGAACAUCAGUGGCGAAGGCGGCUUACUGGGCUUUAACUGACGCUGAGGCUCGAAAGCGUGGGGAGCAAACAGGAUUAGAUACCCUGGUAGUCCACGCCGUAAACGAUGAUUACUAGGUGUGGGGGGACUGACCCCUUCCGUGCCGCAGCAGACGCAAUAAGUAAUCCACCUGGGGAGUACGACCGCAAGGUUGAAACUCAAAGGAAUUGACGGGGGCCCGCACAAGCAGUGGAGUAUGUGGAUUAAUUCGAAGCAACGCGAAGAACCUUACCAGGUCUUGACAUCGUAUGCAUAGCUCAGAGAUGAGUGAAAUCUCUUCGGAGACAUAUAGACAGGUGGUGCAUGGUUGUCGUCAGCUCGUGUCGUGAGAUGUUGGGUUAAGUCCCGCAACGAGCGCAACCCUUACUGUUAGUUGCUACGCAAGAGCACUCUAGCAGGACUGCCGUUGACAAAACGGAGGAAGGUGGGGAUGACGUCAAAUCAUCAUGCCCCUUAUGACCUGGGCCUCACACGUACUACAAUGGCUGUCAACAGAGGGAAGCAAAGCCGCGAGGUGGAGCGAACCCCUAAAAGCAGUCUUAGUUCGGAUUGUAGGCUGCAACCCGCCUACAUGAAGUCGGAAUUGCUAGUAAUCGCAGAUCAGCAUGCUGCGGUGAAUACGUUCCCGGGCCUUGUACACACCGCCCGUCACGCCAUGGGAGUCGGUAACACCCGAAGCCUGUAGUCUAACCGCAAGGAGGACGCAGUCGAAGGUGGGAUUGAUGACUGGGGUGAAGUCGUAACAAGGUA